AUUGAACGCUGGCGGCAUGCUUUACACAUGCAAGUCGAACGGCAGCGCGGGCUUCGGCCUGGCGGCGAGUGGCGAACGGGUGAGUAAUACAUCGGAACGUGCCCAGUAGUGGGGGAUAGCUCGGCGAAAGCCGGAUUAAUACCGCAUACGACCUGAGGGUGAAAGCGGGGGAUCUUCGGACCUCGCGCUAUUGGAGCGGCCGAUGGCAGAUUAGCUAGUUGGUGGGGUAAAGGCCUACCAAGGCGACGAUCUGUAGCUGGUCUGAGAGGACGACCAGCCACACGGGGACUGAGACACGGCCCAGACUCCUACGGGAGGCAGCAGUGGGGAAUUUUGGACAAUGGGCGAAGGCCUGAUCCAGCAAUGCCGCGUGUGUGAUGAAGGCCUUCGGGUUGUAAAGCACUUUUGGCGGGAACGAAAAGGACUGUGCCAAUACCACGGUUCGAUGACGGUACCCGCAGAAUAAGCACCGGCUAACUAC
RNAcentral lists this ribosomal RNA (481 nucleotides) under uncultured bacterium. Its description in RNAcentral is "partial 16S ribosomal RNA". It matches the Rfam family "Bacterial small subunit ribosomal RNA", at positions 29 to 504 of the family's 1533-position model. The record is from RNAcentral.